AACGAACGCUGGCGGCAUGCCUAACACAUGCAAGUCGAACGAGAUCUUCGGGUCUAGUGGCGCACGGGUGCGUAACGCGUGGGAAUCUGCCCUUUGGUUCGGAAUAACAGUUGGAAACGACUGCUAAUACCGGAUGAUGACGAAAGUCCAAAGAUUUAUCGCCAGAGGAUGAGCCCGCGUAGGAUUAGCUAGUUGGGGUGGUAAAGGCGCACCAAGGCGACGAGCCUUAGCUGGUCUGAGAGGAUGAUCAGCCACACUGGGACUGAGACACGGCCCAGACUCCUACGGGAGGCAGCGGUGGGGAAUAUUGGACAAUGGGCGAAAGCCUGAUCCAGCAAUGCCGCGUGAGUGAUGAAGGCCUUAGGGUUGUAAGGCUCUUUUACCCGGGAUGAUAAUGACAGUACCGGGAGAACAAGCUCCGGCUAACUCCGUGCCAGCCGCCGCCGUAA
This 449-nucleotide ribosomal RNA is filed under the name uncultured bacterium. RNAcentral's name for it is "partial 16S ribosomal RNA". It matches the Rfam family "Bacterial small subunit ribosomal RNA", at positions 29 to 523 of the family's 1533-position model. The record is from RNAcentral.